This 75-nucleotide transfer RNA is filed under the name Caralinda causeyae. RNAcentral describes it as "tRNA-Val". The record is from RNAcentral. Lineage: Eukaryota; Metazoa; Arthropoda; Diplopoda; Polydesmida; Xystodesmidae.
CAUAUUAAAGUUUAUUUUUGAAUUUUUCUUUUACAUUGAAAAGGACUCUUUGAGUGGUAUGAUAAUUAUAUUUUA